The submitters of this non-coding RNA (64 nucleotides) gave its source as unclassified sequences. The record is from Rfam.
GGCCACCUUCGGGGGGCUUUACCAAAGGCAGUAAUACGCCAACAUAGCAGACGGAAGACAGAAA